UCUAACAAAGGUUUGUUUAAA
This 21-nucleotide non-coding RNA is filed under the name Caenorhabditis elegans. Lineage: Eukaryota; Metazoa; Nematoda; Chromadorea; Rhabditida; Rhabditidae. The record is from RNAcentral.